Long non-coding RNA from Hylaeus anthracinus, 2294 nucleotides. RefSeq lists it as uncharacterized. The transcript has 2 exons. NCBI's taxonomy places the organism in Eukaryota, Metazoa, Arthropoda, Insecta, Hymenoptera, Colletidae. The record is from RefSeq and is a predicted model, not a curated record.
UGGAAAUCAUGCAACACUUAAUAACUGACACGUCUCUAGCACUGACACGAAACCCAAAGUUAUGAGAAGUAAAAGAUAUAUGUCAUGUCGAAGAAACACUUCGAUGCCUAGUUUUAAAUGUGUUGUUAUACUCGACAAAUAUUAUUUCUACACUUGAAAUUUAAUCAUUGUAAAAUGACUUACCAACCACGUCGACCGUGCCACAGAUCAACGACAGGCAGACCGUCCGAAAGAUAUCGGUGAGAUGUGUCGUUGACAUACGUUGCGAAGGCAGGUAUCUACCGUUCCGGAAUUUGAAUUAUUAUUUCGAAAGGUGUAAGGGUAAAUUAUUUACGUGAAUCAAUUAUUGACAUUGAAAACAUUUUAUUCAGUCAGUAAGAAGCAUUCUACAUGAUGAUGAUGAUAAUGAUGAUGAUGAUGAUGGAUGAUGAUGAUGAUGAUAAUGUAAUAAUAAUGAUAAUAAUAAUAGUAAUUCAUAAUAAUAAUUCAUAAUAAUAAUUCGCCCAUAAUAACCAUUUGUAAUAUACAGGUAAACUCUCUCUCCUUAUCUCAUUUUCCCAGUUUUCUCUAUCGCUCGUUCACACACAUUGAAUUGUCAUUGUACAUAAAUUAUAGAAAUUUCACCAAUAAAUAAAACAUUACAUUCUUCAGACUAUGAAUGUAGUCAAUAAAUCAUCCUUAUCUCGUUUUUUUUUUUGCUGCAAAUGUAUCUUGUUACUUCUUUUUAGUUCUGUUUAUUCGGCAGCGUUGUUGGAUUUGAAGGACUACUUUAAACUCACUGCUCACAGUGACGUUUACAUACUUUGUGCUUUCUUUGUACAUUGUUAAAAGAUUCGUACCUGUCAAGCAGGUUCAAAGAUAACAAAUCCUAGACGCUUCUCUCCAUAAGGCAUAAUAUAUUCCAUUAUAUCUCGCAACAGAAUGAUGGUGUCAGUAAAUAUAUAAAUAAAUGAUGACACAACAAUGUAAACGUAACUGAUGCAGUUCUAUUACUGUAAAUCCAUAUUUCUAUUGAUUUGAGGUAGUGUAUUCAAUGUAAUCCUAUUACUUUGCUGCUAUAUGUUGUGUGCGGAUAUGUGUAUCAUAUGAAUAUUUUUCACACCCAUACACUUUUUUUACUAUAAGUCCAAAAUAUGCAAAGUAUGUUAGGAAACUUUGUACUCAAUAAACAGAUGCGAUCGUAAGUAUGUGUAUAUAUGAUCUUUCAAGACCAUAUUCUCAGUAAUAAUCUUAUUUGUUGUAAACAACAUGAUAUUCUUUUAUCGAUAUUUAUAAACAGUUCAGAAUGUAUAAACGAAGGAAUAUGUUCUAUGUAUAUAUGUAUAUAUAAAUAUAUACACACACGCACUCACACAAAUCAGUAUUUUGGACUUACAGUUAUCUCAGUUGUAAGUGUGUUUCAAAAAUUAUCAUCUAUGUAUAAAGUAUGAGAAAACUAAAUGUCGGGCAAAUUUUGAAACCUGCUGUAACUUUGCAUUGAUUAUUUUGUACAUGCCAUAUGUAAAACAAGCAUGAGACUUUGUAAGAACGUCUUGACAUUAUUUUGUGACAAAAUCUUCCCGCUAUUCAGUAUUCCAACUUCAUUACCAAAUACGACAAGGCUGCUGACAUUAGGCUUGCUAGCACUUGUAAAUAAUGCCCAGCAAUUGUGCUAUUUUGUUAGUUUCUUUAACUAUUAUUUCAUGUUUAAUUUAUCACAUUUUAAUCGUCUUCACAGAUUGAAAAAGAGAGGGCACAUGUAACAUCAUGCAUUACCAAGUUGGCUCAAUCUAUGAACACUUUUGUAAAAAAUAUAACAUCUAUGGAUGGUUGAGCCCUCGGUUAGCAUAUAGCGAAUUAGUACUUUUGAAGGUAAUGCGGAUCACUUCUGCAGGAACAAGCAAUGGAUAUAGAUAUCCAUAUACGAUCUGUAUAAAGGGCAUAUAACAUUACCCUUCCCUUUACUUUAAAAGGAAACAUUGCCUUUGGGUUUAAAAAGAUACCCAAUAGUUUAUAUCUAAUAUUUAAAAAAUGGAACCUAUUUAAGCGCAAGAGACGGAUACUUCCUGCAAUUUGAUUGUACAACCACUUUAUUCUAUUGCAGAAGUGAUUUUCGCUCUAGUCUUCGUAUAUUAGUUUUUAUUCCAAUAUCACACAUACCCCCUCCCUAAGAAACUAAACACAGUAAACUUAAUGAGUACUCGAGAAAUUGACGACAUCAAUUUUGAAUUUUGACACAUUCGUGUUAUCCUUAUAUUAUCUUCAAUAUAAGUUUAACGACUUAACCAAAUGAAUUUUUCAAGUUAAAACAACAA